RNAcentral lists this ribosomal RNA (181 nucleotides) under uncultured bacterium. RNAcentral describes it as "partial 16S ribosomal RNA". It matches the Rfam family "Bacterial small subunit ribosomal RNA", at positions 1320 to 1500 of the family's 1533-position model. The record is from RNAcentral.
AUGAAGCCGGAAUCGCUAGUAAUCGCGGAUCAGAAUGCCGCGGUGAAUACGUUCCCGGGUCUUGUACACACCGCCCGUCACACCAUGGGAGCCGGGAAUGCCCGAAGUCAGUGGCCUAACCGCAAGGGGGGAGCUGCCGAAGGCAGGCCCGGUGACUGGGGUGAAGUCGUAACAAGGUAUC